RNAcentral lists this ribosomal RNA (403 nucleotides) under uncultured bacterium. Its description in RNAcentral is "bacterial SSU rRNA". It matches the Rfam family "Bacterial small subunit ribosomal RNA", at positions 356 to 773 of the family's 1533-position model. The record is from RNAcentral.
AGGGAAUUUUCCGCAAUGGGCGAAAGCCUGACGGAGCAACGCCGCGUGAGUGAAGACGGCCUUCGGGUUGUAAAGCUCUGUUCUUGGGGAAGAAAAAAAUGACGGUACCCAAGGAGAAAGCCCCGGCUAACUACGUGCCAGCAGCCGCGGUAAUACGUAGGGGGCGAGCGUUAUCCGGAUUUAUUGGGCGUAAAGCGCGCGCAGGCGGUCAGGUAAGUCGGAUGUGAAAGGCUACUGCUCAACCGUAGAGCGGCAUCCGAAACUGUUUGACUUGAGUGCAGGAGAGGAGAGUGGAAUUCCCGGUGUAGCGGUGGAAUGCGUAGAGAUCGGGAGGAACACCAGUGGCGAAGGCGACUCUCUGGACUGUAACUGACGCUGAGGCGCGAAAGCGUGGGGAGCAAAC